AUGAAGAAGACACGUUCAAAUAUAUUUCGUGACAUUUAUUAUCAGCCAUAUAAUGAUUAUACGAGAAUGAAGCUUUAUUCCAGCAGUAAAGCAAGUCUUCAAAUGAUGCAGCGUAUGGCAUUAUUAAGAAGAUUAAAAGUUCAUAAUGGUUGUGUAAAUUCUGUUUGCUGGAAUGCUACUGGAGAAUUGAUAUUAUCUGGUAGUGAUGACCAACAUCUUGUCCUUACAAAUGCUUAUAAUUAUGAGGUAUUAACAGAUUAUAAAACCAGUCAUAGAGCGAAUAUAUUUAGUGCAAAGUUUCUGCCUAAUAGUGGAGAUCAUCGGAUAGUUUCUUGUAGUGGUGAUGGUAUUAUUUUAUAUACAGAUUUAAUAAGAAGAACAAAAACAUUUAAUAAUCAAUUUAAUUGUCAUGUUGGUACUACAUAUGAAAUAGCGACAAUACCUGGUGAACCGCAUAAUUUUUUAAGUUGCGGAGAAGAUGGAACUGUGAGAUGGUUUGAUCUUAGAAUAAAGGAUAAAUGUAAUGCCUCAAGAUGUACAGAAGAUGUAUUAGUUUCAUGCGAGAGAGCUAUAACUGCUCUCUCUGUAAAUCUUGCUUCACCCCAUCAAAUAGCAAUAGGAUGUUCUGAUAGUACAGUUAGAAUACUUGAUAGAAGAACACUUGGAACACCCGCCACUGGAUGGACAGAUACACCUGGAGCAGUAAAACCUUUAUGUACUUUCACUGUUCCUGAAUUUGAAGGAAAUUCUUAUAGAAUAACAUCUUUAAAUUAUAGCCCUGAUGGUCAGGAUGUUCUUGUUAGUUAUAGUAGUGAUCAUCUUUAUUUGUUCAAUGUAAAGGACCAAGCUAGUGUACAGUUAAAGAAAGAUAUCGCAGUUAGAAAAGGAGAGGGUAAGAAGCAAAGAUUACGUUCGCCAUUACCAGUACGUAGAUUAAGACUUAGAGGCGAUUGGUCUGAUACUGGUCCUGAUGCUCGACCUGAGUGUGAGGGAGGUCGACGUAGCGGUACAGAAAUUGCUCAAGCCAGACCUGUUCUUCAAACAUCGUUAAUGCAAAGAAUGACGGAUGUUCUUAGUAGAAUGUUAAAUGAUCCAGCUACUAGAGCUGCAUUAUGUGGCGGUGGUGAAGAUAGUUUGGAAGGUGUAAUUGAUCAUCAAGAUAAUACUCAAAAUAGCAACGAAAAUGUUACAGAAUCUAAUGAAGAAAGACGGGAUAACGAGGUCGAAAGAAUGGAAAGAACUCAAAUUCAAUCUAAUCAAGAACAUCAAAUGGACAAAUCUGAAAAUCCAAGUACUAGUGGCAUGCAAAAUAAUCCUGGAACAAGUCAUUCCGUGGAAACAAAAGAAAAAACAUCAUCUAAUGAUACUAUGCCUUCAAAUCAAACGAUGGAGGAAUGUUCGCCGGUUGAACUCAAAUCAAAUAUUCCUAUGGAAAUUGAAUCUAGUCUUGUAGAAACUCAAAAGUAUUCUACACAACCGUGUUCAUCGCAUACUUUGGAUAAAACCAAUGAUAUACCAGAAGAUGAUCAAAGUAGCAACGAUGAUUCUCCUUGUAGCAGUAUGGAAAAUAAACAGGAAGGACAUAUGAUGGAAAAUCUUCAAGAUAGAUUGACGAAAAUGAGAGUUGGGUUUCUUGAAAAACACGGCAGCGAACCUGCUGUAAGUUUAACUUAUACGGAUAAAAGUUCAACAAGUGCAACGAUAUCUCUUGGUGUAGCUGAUGAAAUGAUUCGUGAUGGUUAUCACGCUGGACCAUCUGGAACUAGUGGAACUUUCUCAGGCAAAAAUCAUGACAAACACAUACGAUAUAAUGAUAUACAAGAAAAGACUGAUGAGAGCGCUUUUAGUGAUAGCGAUGAUGAAGAUAUACAAUCUGAAGAAAGAUUAGAAAGUUCAGCUGAAACUGAAAUGGAAGAGGCUAUUGGAGAUGUUCGAACACGACGAGAAUCGAUGACUUUCGACAAAACUAGUGUAACAGAACUUCGUGUGAAGCAGAAAUAUAUGGGGCAUCGUAAUGCUAGUUUCUUUAGGACUAUGAUCAAAGAGGCAAACUUUUGGGGCAACGAUUUCGUCAUGUCGGGUAGUGAUUGUGGCCAUGUCUUCAUAUGGGAAAAAGAUACGGCCAGAUUGUGCAUGUUAUUGGAAGCCGACCAACAUGUCGUUAACUGUUUACAACCACAUCCGUACCUGCCAUUACUGGCUACAGCCGGUAUUGAUUAUGAUGUUAAGCUUUGGGCACCAAUAAAUGAAGAAUCCAGUUUUGAUGAAAAGUUUGCUGAAGAUUUGAAAAAGAGGAAUGCAGUCAUGUUGGAAGAGACGAAAGAUACAAUGACUGUGCCGGCUGUUUUUAUGAUUAGAAUGCUGGCAUGUCUCAAUCAGAUACGCAGAGGUAGUGAAAAUUUAUAAUACUUUUCAAGAUCUUCCGAUAAUACACUACAUUAGUAUGAUCAACGUAAUUAAGAAUAAUAUACUGAAGAAAUUCGGCCGCUUUUCCCCUUUAAUGUGCAGGACGCGGCCGGAACAGGAGGAGGAGCGGCGACGAGACCGGCGAAUUACGAGGUGGUUAAGAUGUUUCCGGCGAUAUUGCCGUCUGUGAAGACGGGAUCUCAAUUGAAGCAGUCCUUAUCGCAACGUCGACUGAUCAUACUUCGAAUUUG
RNAcentral lists this unclassified non-coding RNA (2657 nucleotides) under Apis dorsata (giant honeybee). RNAcentral describes it as "dDB1- and CUL4-associated factor 6-like, transcript variant X1". The record is from RNAcentral. Lineage: Eukaryota; Metazoa; Arthropoda; Insecta; Hymenoptera; Apidae.